Molecule: ribosomal RNA, 505 nt
Filed under: uncultured bacterium
Lineage: Bacteria
Description: partial 16S ribosomal RNA
Rfam family: Bacterial small subunit ribosomal RNA
Source: RNAcentral
AUUGAACGCUGGCGGCGUGCCUAACACAUGCAAGUCGAGCGAUGAAGGGGAGCUUGCUCUCUGGAUUAGCGGCGCACGGGUGAGUAACGCGUGGAUAAUCUGCCCAUAGGUUCGGGAUACCAGUUGGAAACGGCUGACAAUACCGGAUAACAUACAAUUUUAUCGAUUGUGUCAAAGGCGGGGUAACCUGUCGCUUAUGGAUGAGUCCGCGUCUCAUUAGCUUGUUGGUGGGGUAAAAGCCUACCAAGGCCAUGAUGAGUAGCCGGCCUGAGAGGGUAAUCGGCCACACUGGGACUGGAACACGGCCCAGACUCCUACGGGAGGCAGCAGUGGGGAAUAUUGCGCAAUGGACGCAAGUCUGACGCAGCGACGCCGCGUGAGGGAUGAAGGCCUUCGGGUUGUAAACCUCUGUCAGGGGGAAUGAACCGCCAUGGGAGUAACUGCCCAUGGUCUGACGGUACCCCCAGAAGAAGCACCGGCUAACUCCGUGCCAGCCGCCGCGUAA